This is a long non-coding RNA of Oreochromis aureus, 563 nucleotides long. RefSeq lists it as uncharacterized. NCBI's taxonomy places the organism in Eukaryota, Metazoa, Chordata, Actinopteri, Cichliformes, Cichlidae. The record is from RefSeq and is a predicted model, not a curated record. The transcript is spliced from 5 exons.
CAAUCAGCUGCAUGUCCCUUGCUCCUCUGGCUGCUGUUUUCCCUGUGGUUGGCGUACUUGUCAGAUAUUGACAAAUUUUACACUGCAUACUAGUUGACAGCGUGCAAUAGCCCGGCCGAUUCAUUCAUCUUUACACCACCUCACAAUCGACUCAACGGUCAGGUCCCCCCCCCCGCGAUCAGCCCUGAUCAGCGCGGGAUGGCGAGCCACCCAACCACCCCUGCAUUGCGUCUUAAGCAGGUGAAUGAACCAGAUGCUUGAUUCCCUCCCACAUCCUGAUGAGAAAAGCUGAAGAAGUCACGCCUGCAAUCAAAAGAUGGAGAUUACUACUCAAGUGUGUCCAAGAGUAAGGCACCUACAAAGCCGCACUUGCAAGCUGGAGUAGGAAAGAACAGACACACAAACAGUUUUCCUUCAUUUCCAUCCUUCAGCCAUGAGGCCGUCUUUGAACAACGCCGUCCUCCCGAAGUACGAUGGGAGCUUCAUGUCAGUCAUCUCCCUGUUGUGCCUGUAUAGAUGAACAUAUUCCACUCGGCUCAGAUGGUCGUUGGGGUCAGGACGAC